Molecule: transfer RNA, 75 nt
Filed under: Methanococcus voltae
Lineage: Archaea; Methanobacteriati; Methanobacteriota; Methanococci; Methanococcales; Methanococcaceae
Also listed under: 2 other names
Description: tRNA-His
Rfam family: tRNA
About the family: Transfer RNA (tRNA) molecules are approximately 80 nucleotides in length. Their secondary structure includes four short double-helical elements and three loops (D, anti-codon, and T loops). Further hydrogen bonds mediate the characteristic L-shaped molecular structure. tRNAs have two regions of fundamental functional importance: the anti-codon, which is responsible for specific mRNA codon recognition, and the 3' end, to which the tRNAs corresponding amino acid is attached (by aminoacyl-tRNA synthetases). tRNAs cope with the degeneracy of the genetic code in two manners: having more than one tRNA (with a specific anti-codon) for a particular amino acid; and 'wobble' base-pairing, i.e. permitting non-standard base-pairing at the 3rd anti-codon position.
Source: RNAcentral
GCCGAGGUAGGGUAGUGGCUAUCCUGAGGGACUGUGGAUCCCUCGACCCGGGUUCAAUUCUCGGUCUCGGCCCCA